UCCAUUUUAAAGCUCUAUGAAGGAGGAACAAAGGACCUUUACCUGAAGAUUAUUAAGUACUCCUCCAUCAGAUACAAUUCUUUCUCACUUAUAGAGGGCUAAAGUGUUUCUCAAGAAUUAUCUAGACUCAUGGUUCCACCUCCUUCUCCUUGAUGUGGAUGAAUCAUGUGAUGAUAUCCCUUAAAUUUUAGUACAGCUGUAACUGGGCAGUGCUUGUCCAGCCACAGCCACAUUGUCCAGUGUCCUUUGCUGCGGAGUGUCUCAUGUGACUGAGCUCUUGAUACUGGAAUGCAACAGAAGCAAGUUGUGCCCUUCUGGACUACGCUUUCAAGGGACUAGUCAUUGUAUGCCUUCCCUCCUCCUCAGGAGCCAGGAUGGUGACACGUUUAAGAUGGCAGAAACUCUGUCCUGCCAAGUCCCUGAAUGACUUGGAGGUCAUGGAGCUGAACCCUUCCAAGCUGGAAUACUCCUAUGAACCAUGUCGUUAGAGAGAAAUAAAGCUAUUGUGUUUGAAUGAUUAUAUUUUAAGGUCUGUGUUUUAAAAUGAGUAAGUCUACUUUAAUUCAUUAGUUAUGAUCUUCAAAAAUUAGAUACUUUAUUUUUCCCCUGGAAGUAGCCUUGAUGUUAUUUAUUUGCUAAUUUAUUAAGUUUUUCUUCUUCUGAAAUAAACCUAUUUUUGGAUAUA
Hyaena hyaena (striped hyena) is the source of this 685-nucleotide long non-coding RNA. RefSeq lists it as uncharacterized. The transcript has 2 exons. Lineage: Eukaryota; Metazoa; Chordata; Mammalia; Carnivora; Hyaenidae. The record is from RefSeq and is a predicted model, not a curated record.